RNAcentral lists this ribosomal RNA (426 nucleotides) under uncultured bacterium. Its description in RNAcentral is "partial 16S ribosomal RNA". It matches the Rfam family "Bacterial small subunit ribosomal RNA", at positions 354 to 796 of the family's 1533-position model. The record is from RNAcentral.
GUGAGGAAUUUUCCGCAAUGGGCGAAAGCCUGACGGAGCAAUGCCGCGUGAAGGAUGAAGGCCUAUGGGUUGUAAACUUCUUUUCUCAGAAAAGAAUUAUGACGGUAUCUGAGGAAUAAGCAUCGGCUAACUCUGUGCCAGCAGCCGCGGUAAGACAGAGGAUGCAAGCGUUAUCCGGAAUGAUUGGACGUAAAGCGUCUGUAGGUUGUUUAAAAAGUAUUCUGUCAAAGAUUAGGGCUUAAACCUAGAUAGGCAGAAUAAACUUUUAAGCUAGAGUUUGGUAGAGGCAGAGGGAAUUCCCGGUGGAGCGGUGAAAUGCGUAGAUAUCGGGAGGAACACCAAAGGCGAAGGCACUCUGCUGGGCCAAUACUAACACUGAGAGACGAAAGCGAGGGGAGCAAAUGGGAUUAGAAACCCCAGUAGUCC